ACUUACAUGCCACAUCACCCUGCAGCCCAAGACUGGUUACUCCCUGAAUCUAAGUAUAGGGCUGAGCCUGGUCAGUACCUGGAUGGGAGGCCACAUGGGAAAAGUAGAUUGCUGUUGGAA
Molecule: ribosomal RNA, 120 nt
Filed under: Danio rerio (zebrafish)
Lineage: Eukaryota; Metazoa; Chordata; Actinopteri; Cypriniformes; Danionidae
Source: RNAcentral